This 232-nucleotide ribosomal RNA is filed under the name uncultured bacterium. Its description in RNAcentral is "partial 16S ribosomal RNA". It matches the Rfam family "Bacterial small subunit ribosomal RNA", at positions 118 to 347 of the family's 1533-position model. The record is from RNAcentral.
UGAGCAAUCUGCCCUUCUCAUCGGAAUAAGCGUUGGAAACGACGUCUAAUGCCGAAUACGACCUCCUUUCGCAUGAUCGGAGGUGGAAAGCUCCGGCGGAGAAGGAUGAGCUCACGGCCUAUCAGCUAGUUGGUGUGGGUAAUGGCCCACCAAGGCGACGACGGGUAGCCGGCCUGAGAGGGUGACCGGCCACACUGGGACUGAGACACGGCCCAGACUCCUACGGGAGCAG